Long non-coding RNA from Junco hyemalis (dark-eyed junco), 2222 nucleotides. The record is from Ensembl. NCBI's taxonomy places the organism in Eukaryota, Metazoa, Chordata, Aves, Passeriformes, Passerellidae.
GAAUCAAACGGGAGAUGCCGGUAGAAGAAGUUGCCGAAAGCCAGGCUGGAAUGGGCCGGAGCUGCGCGCCGCCGGCCCCGUCGCGCAGCGGAGCAGCCGAACUUUGUGGGGUCUGAGCGUUUGUCCCCUCUGCGAACGGGAGAGCCAGCACCGCACCGCGCACCUGGAGCCUGACCGAGCCUGGGGCAGAGCCAAGGGGGCAUUUCUGUCUCAACAAGGACCAUCGCCUCUGAAACAAAACAAAAAAAAAAAAUAAAAUAAAGCUGGAGAAGGGCAAUUUAUCUUUCUUUUCCAGAUGAUUGAAAAUAUCUACAGGAUCCUGUCUCUCCGGUGUUCAUCGGUGAGUAGCGUAAGGGACAGGCGGCUGAGGAACAAAAAUGAUAUCGGUCAAAAUCAUUCCAGCACCUACUUUUUCCUAAGGAACUUCAUGCCCAUAGGGGUUUUCUGCGGGCAUUUCCAGGAGUGAGGCGAGGUACCACAGAUGCAUCCCGACCGGAUCAUGUAAGAAUUUGCAAAUGAGAAACGUACCCCAUCCAGACCUUCUCUGCCCGCUUUGCAGUACAUGGUUUGGUGUAAGCACAGCAAUUCUCACCUCUUUCUCUCCCUUUUAAGUCUCUUGAGCUUGGAGACCUCUUUCCUCAUUGCAAUUAUGAUUAUUUGCAACAUCAGCGCCAUCAAAGAUUGGAGCACUUUCCUUUCCCAAAUCCUCCCCAGCGUUAACAAGACUCUGAACUUGGUACAGCAAGUGGAAGCCACCACCAGCUCGGUGGUGAGUGUCCUCCAGGACCCCGAGCAGGACAACUACCUGUCCAAUAGCCAGUCCAUGAACUCCAGCAACUUCACAGCUGGCCUGGACCACUUGUUCCAGUACUCAUACUCGGACAAUGACCAGCUCUACAAGGAGUACAAACCCCCUCCUCGAGAUGCCAUUCCUCUGCCCAAGGCUGUCCUCUACCUCCUCAUGGCAGCCCUGGUGGUGGUGGCAGUGGCGUACGCCAUCGUCGGGCAUCUCAUCAAGGACCUCAUCUAUGACUUUGUAGACUGGAUCUUCGGCCCCAACCCGGAUGACAACAGCAACAAGAGCGACAUCAACUGCAUCAGCAACAGCGUCAACGAGAUGAGCGAGCUGCCCGAGGCGCCGCAGCGGCAUCCCCGGGAGCGGCAGCCCCAGGACGUGGUCAUUGCCAUCAGCGAGACCUGUCACCUGCCGCAGCAAACGUGACCGGCGCCACGCCCGGGCCGGGCGGGAUGGAGCAGCGGGAUCGGCAAGGAGCAGCGGGAUGCACAGGAGGGAUGGAGCAGCGGGAUGGAGCCAUGGAACAGAGCAGCAGCCGCCCCGCAGGGCCGGGCGGGGAGAGGAUGGGAUGGGCAGAGCCGGCGCCCUGGAGCAAAGACCUCCUCCCCCUGGUUGUACCAGCCUCUAAGGACCUUGUGGGGGUGGGUGGCAUCACCCCUUCUCCCAGGCUUGUCAGCCCUUGGGUUUGUGACCCCCUCUUUGUUCCCUGUGAAUAGCAAAAAAGAAAAAGCGAAUGCAAAAUACACCCACCAGACAAAGCUUGCAAGAGGAAUGAGCUGCAGAGAGAGGCCGGGCAGUCCUUUGGCAUGUGGCUGUCCUGUGGUGUGGGAAUGGGGUGGGGAAAAGGGCAAAGGAAACAAGGAGGCUGCAGAGAAAUGUGGUGUCUGCACUUCUGGGGACAGGCCCAGGGCACAGCAGGGAGCUGGGAGCUGCAGAAAGGCACAGAAAGGUCGGCAGGGGCCAAAUCCCCCAGUACAUUGGUGAUCUGCCUGGUCCAUCACUCCUGCAGCUCCAGCUCACAGCCCUUUCCAGCAGGUGUGUCCUGUGGCUCUGGGACAGCAGGGUGACAGCCCAAGCUGCCCAGGGAGCCUGAUUCCUCUGGGCCUGUAACCAAACCAGGGCCAUCACAUUCCCUCCAACACACCUCUGCUUGAGCCCAGCACCUCCUGGCAGGGAGCAGCCCUGUUGGGACCAGGUACAACCCCUUUUUCUGAGGAAAUGUUGCUGGAGAGGAGAUCAGGGACCCAUCUGCAUGAAAUCCAAACUCUUUGUGGGGGAAAACAGCCCUUGUAUGUCUGCAUCCUUCAGCCUCAUCCCAGUGUGAGCACCUCCUACAUCACCCUCAGAAUUCCUGCCACCCCAAGGGAUGCUGGCUCUGUACUGGGGUCAGCCCCAUGUGCAGUGAUGGAGCAGAGACACCUCCCUG